Molecule: long non-coding RNA, 557 nt
Filed under: Sorghum bicolor (sorghum)
Lineage: Eukaryota; Viridiplantae; Streptophyta; Magnoliopsida; Poales; Poaceae
Description: long non-coding RNA (SBIC_LNC015705)
Source: RNAcentral
CUAAGAUCAAGACAUUUAUUCAGAAAGAUUCACUCUUCUGAAGUAUUAUUGCAUUAGAGGCAUGGGCUAUGCAAAAAUAAAGAUAUUUCGAGGAAAUAAAAAGGAGCAAGUGCUCGAUAACCUCGCAAAAAAAAUAGACAAGUGUCCGGCAGUAGAAUUAGGGGUACCUCGGUAUCCACUUAAAAAAAGAGAAAAGAGAAGAAAAAAUGGUAGCCCAUGGUCCCUCUAAUAAGCAAUGUGCCAGCAAGAGUUGACAAAGUUUUUAAUUUCCAAAGUCUUUGAUCUAAGAGUAUGACAUUCCUCUCCUCGGAUCCCGUUUUGAUCAGGCAAUAAAUGCAAAGUAAGUAUGCUUAAGAAUUUUUGCAAAUUAAAACAGCCUCAGUGAGAUAUAUAAAAGAUAAAGAGUGAUCUGAGAGAACCUAUGAGGAUAAAAGGUAUGCUAACUUUCUUUUCAAAAAUAUAUACAAACAACUCCAAGUGAUAGGAUUAAGAAGAAAGGAUCUUUACUCUUAACCAUAUACUUCCCUGACUACAGUACACAGUGGAUUUUAACACCC